This 242-nucleotide long non-coding RNA is filed under the name Citrus sinensis (sweet orange). Its description in RNAcentral is "long non-coding RNA (CSIN_LNC001723)". Lineage: Eukaryota; Viridiplantae; Streptophyta; Magnoliopsida; Sapindales; Rutaceae. The record is from RNAcentral.
AAGCAAAUUAUUGAAAAGCUAUGAAGCUAACCAACUCGGCUCAUCUAAAUCUACCCCAACAGCAAACACUCACAAGUCCAACAACGUUAAACUCUGUUUCAAGUUUUACUGUUUUUACUCUCGGCAUGAGCACAUCAUCAUGUGAAACCAUUAAAAUCCAAGUAAUAGCAAACUCACAAGUUGUAGCUUUGUGGAGAUCACUCGGCGAUGAGCAGCAGCGGCGACCAGCAGCAGCGACAGGC